CCUGAAUUUGUCCUGUUCCCCCUCCCCCCAUUUAUAACUUUUGAUUAUAUUGGGGCACUUGAAGCAGAUUCCCAGGUGACACCAAUGCUGUCAGGGUCCAGGGUCUUGAGGAGUAGUCCAGAGCAGACUUCCUAACCUGCCUAAGAGCGAACUUCCCAAUCAAACUUGCAUACUCUCAGGGAAACUGAUUUCUGUGUUAGAAAAACAAUCUAUUGAACAAAUGUGUGAAGAGGUGUUUUCAUGUAGAAGGCUCUUCAUCAUGUCUAUUUCGGGCAUCUUAACAAAGGGACUGGAAUCUUCCAGAUCCUAUGGGGCAGGUUUGCAAGGAGAGACACAGGAGUUGACCGGUUCUGCUGGGAGUUCACCUUGCAGGUUAGAUUUGUUAGGCAGUCUGUGCUUUUAGCACUUUUUUUCCUUUCCCCUAUCCUGGGGAUAUGGCUUCUCCAAAACACUUCAGGUGAUCAGGGUUAGGAUUAGGGUGAGGGUGGCUUUCCCAUAUGGAGACCUCUUCAGGAAGCCACUUCCUUUUGUACUUUUCCUGCAUGCACAUCAGAAUAUAGCACCCCAGGUUUGGGGCUUCAGAUAUAUUUGAACAACAUUAACUGAGCUUCUACAGCAAGCACUUUACGUGCCAGAUGUAGCAGAGGGUUCACUAUUGACUAAGAUGGAUCCCUGCCCUCCAAAAGUUUAUAUAUAUAUAUAUAUAUAUAUAUAUAUAUAUAUAUAUAUAUAUAUAUAAAUUUAUAAAUAUUAGACAUUUUGUGCUCACAGUUGUAGAGGCUAGAAUUUGAUGUCUGGUGAAGGCUCAGUCUCUGCUUCAUAAAUGGCACUUUUGCUGCAUCCUCACAUGGUGGAGGGGUGAGAGGGGCAAAGAAGGUCCAACACAUGGCAGAAGAGAAGGAAGGGAUGAAUCUGUUCCUUGUAGCCCUUUCAUAAGGGCUAAACCCAUCCAGGAGAGUGGAGCCCUCACAGCCCAGUGACUUUACAAGGCCUCAUCUUUUAGUACUGUCACUUUGGGAUUAAAGUUCCAAAAUAUGAAUUUUUAUAUCCAAAACAUAGCAGACAUCAAAGUGAGAGAGACAAAAAGCAUCAUGUUUCUUUGAAGAAGAGAAGAACUCCCUUCUCCUUUGCCUUUUCC
Molecule: long non-coding RNA, 1138 nt
Filed under: Marmota monax (woodchuck)
Lineage: Eukaryota; Metazoa; Chordata; Mammalia; Rodentia; Sciuridae
Source: RNAcentral